This 380-nucleotide ribosomal RNA is filed under the name Atlantitermes guarinim. Its description in RNAcentral is "partial 16S ribosomal RNA". The stretch from base 1 to 215 matches the Rfam family "Archaeal large subunit ribosomal RNA", at positions 1888 to 2143 of the family's 2987-position model. Lineage: Eukaryota; Metazoa; Arthropoda; Insecta; Blattodea; Termitidae. The record is from RNAcentral.
UCGCCUGUUUAUCAAAAACAUCUCUUCUUGUUAGUUUUUGAAGUAUGGCCUGCCCACUGACGUUUAUUUUGUUGAAGGGCCGCGGUAUCUUGACCGUGCAAAGGUAGCAUAAUCAUUAGUUCUUUAAUUGUGAUCUGGUAUGAAUGGCUUGACGAGACAUAAGCUGUCUUAAUAGUAUUGUUUAUUGAAUUUGGUUUUUGAGUUAAAAUUCUUAAAUGUUUUUAUGGGACGAGAAGACCCUAUAGAGUUUGACAAUUUUUUGUUUAUUUAUUGUUUGUUUGGUUUUAUUAAGUGGUAAGAUUGUUUUGUUGGGGUGAUGGGAGGAAUAUAUUUAACUCCUCUUUAUUUUUAUAUAUUUAUUUAUAUUUUUUUGAUCCAUU